AUACGGAGGGGGCAAGCGUUAUUCGGAAUUAUUGGGCGUAAAGGGCGCGUAGGCGGCCCGACAAGUCAACGGUGAAAUCCCUCGGCCUAACCGAGGAACUGCCUUUGAAACUGUCAGGCUUGAGGCCGGGAGAGGGUAGUGGAAUUCCCAGUGUAGCGGUGAAAUGCGUAGAUAUUGGGAGGAACACCAGUGGCGAAGGCGACUACCUGGACCGGUUCUGACGCUGAGGCGCGAAAGCGUGGGGAGCAAACAGGAUUAGAAACCCUGGUAGUCC
This 274-nucleotide ribosomal RNA is filed under the name uncultured bacterium. Its description in RNAcentral is "partial 16S ribosomal RNA". It matches the Rfam family "Bacterial small subunit ribosomal RNA", at positions 523 to 796 of the family's 1533-position model. The record is from RNAcentral.